CUCUCUCUCUCUCUCUCUCAAUCUAGGAAUAUAGAUAGAAGGUGGUGGCUGAGAGAAUCAUGGUUUAUUUUUCUAUAUUCUUAGGGACAAAAGUACACAAUUCAGAGAGAGGCAGAAGCUGAUCGGGUGUACUGGUCCGGAGGGGCCUCAUGGGUGUUAUAAAUACUAGUUGAGGACAGUCUAGGGUUUUUGAAUAUUUUUGGAAUUUUCCCCGUUUUGGCAAACUACAUUUGUUGCCGUUUUAUUACCCGCCUUAAAUGAGCAGUUAGGAUGUUUCAAUUACCGGCCUGCCCCUAUCCUUCUAUUACAAUUACAUUACAGCUUCUGCCGCUCAUAUUUUACCUUGAACCAAAAAUAUCAAACGUAGUCUCAUCUCUCUCUAAUGACUAUAAAAGAAAGAUUGUAUAGAAUGUUUACUAGGAAAAAAACACCUCUACUGGUCUACUGUGCAUGGUGCCCUUGUAUUUUGAUGGUGAAGGGAAGUGUUCUGCACUGAUGGAUUCCCCCAAAAAAAAAAAAAAAUCUAGUUCAACAGGCAAAGUAGAAUGGUCCUCAUCAUCAUGUAACAGUGACAAAGAGUGAUUCCUAGGUAGCUACCAGCUAGGAAUAUAAAAAAGAUGGAUUCUUGGAUGGGGAAGUGGGGUUCUUUUGGUAAUUGGAUAGUUUUCUGGUGUAUAAUUUCUUGAUUUACCGGCGAUUCUUUACAGCCAGGGAGUAUUUUAGGCAUGAAGUGGAUGAUGGGUAUUUUGGUAUCUUGUCUGCAAGUACCAUGGGAACAGGGUAAGGCUUAAAGAAAAAAAAAAUCAGCAAAAGCCCUAUAUGGAGACUGACAGAAGAAUCUCCAUUACUGUUGUAACCUUCUCUUUUUCAUUUCCUUUUUUAAGGUGAAAAAAAGAUUGAAAGAGAAAAUUCCAAUUUUUUCUGUUUAAAACAAAUUGUUCAAAUAUGAUUUGAGUCUGUUCAUAUGGAACAGAGAACUUAAUUGGACCUUUUGCAUAAAGGCAUUCCACAUCAUGUUAAAUGCAAAAAUGCUCCAUAGCAUACUUUUUCUUUCCUUUUCGCUAAACAUUUUUGCUUGCAAGUUUUCACUCUAAUUGGAGGGGUGCUUGGGCCACAGGCAUGGCUAAUGUGCCCUUUAGCAGAGUUCCAGGCAGCAAUAACAGUGGAAAUAAAGCCUAGAGAAAAGAAUUUAUUACUGCUGUAAAUAUAAAAACAAAGAACAAGAACUAAUGUUUAGGUGAUAGAAAAAAUAAAAUAAAAUAAAAGGCAGCAGUUAUGUUUGAAGAAUUAAGUUCCUAAAUUUUGUAUAUAAUAUAAUUUUGCAACUGACACUUCACAAAGAUAAUUGUUGUGUCUACAAGGAGCAAAUGUUGAAUUUUAUCUAAAAAAAUAAUAUAAUUAAACAAUCCCCAAAAGGAAGUCUCUUUAAAAAUAAUUAUUUUUUUUUUAAGACAUAUCUCUACAUGUCAUUUAUUUAAUUCAAGCAAACAUGUCUUUUAGUCCUAGAAGGGCAGAAGAAGAAAGGAAUGGAACUUCUUUUAUCUGCUUACUUUUAGAUAGGACUAAAAGCAACCUAAGCUACAAAUCUCAUAAUUUUGUUCAGAGUUUACCAUUCACCCAUUAGCGCCUAUCUAAUUGAAGUAAAGGCAUAGUCUGGUUUGAUUUAAUGGUUAAAAGAAUAUAUUACUCACCCAGCGAAUUUCACUCUCGUACUCUCUCUAUUAAAAAAAAUCUAAAAUAAAAUAAAAUAAAGAAAAAAGGCCUUCACCAUUCACCA
This 1777-nucleotide unclassified non-coding RNA is filed under the name Hevea brasiliensis (rubber tree). Lineage: Eukaryota; Viridiplantae; Streptophyta; Magnoliopsida; Malpighiales; Euphorbiaceae. The record is from RNAcentral.